Molecule: unclassified non-coding RNA, 163 nt
Filed under: uncultured Aspergillus
Lineage: Eukaryota; Fungi; Ascomycota; Eurotiomycetes; Eurotiales; Aspergillaceae
Description: sequence contains ITS2
Source: RNAcentral
CUGCCCAUCAAGCCCGGCUUGUGUGUUGGGUCGUCGUCCCCCCGGGGGACGGGCCCGAAAGGCAGCGGCGGCACCGUGUCCGGUCCUCGAGCGUAUGGGGCUUUGUCACCCGCUCGAUUAGGGCCGGCCGGGCGCCAGCCGACGUCUCCAACCAUUUUCUUCA